GACGAACGCUGGCGGCGUGCUUAACACGUGCAAGUCGAACGGAAAGGCCCUGCUUUUGUGGGGUGCUCGAGUGGCGAACGGGUGAGUAACACGUGAGUAACCUGCCCUUGACCUUGGGAUAACUUCAGGAAACUGGGGCUAAUACCGGAUAGGAGCUCCUGCUGCAUGGUGGGGGUUGGAAAGUUUCGGCGGUUGGGGAUGGACUCGCGGCUUAUCAGCUUGUUGGUGGGGCAGUGGCUUACCAAGGCUUUGACGGGUAGCCGGCCUGAGAGGGUGACCGGCCACAUUGGGACUGAGAUACGGCCCAGACUCCUACGGGAGGCAGCAGUGGGGAAUAUUGCACAAUGGGCGGAAGCCUGAUGCAGCAACGCCGCGUGCGGGAUGACGGCCUUCGGGUUGUAAACCGCUUUCGCCUGUGACGAAGCGUGAGUGACGGUAAUGGGUAAAGAAGCACCGGCUAACUACGUG
RNAcentral lists this ribosomal RNA (468 nucleotides) under uncultured bacterium. Its description in RNAcentral is "partial 16S ribosomal RNA". It matches the Rfam family "Bacterial small subunit ribosomal RNA", at positions 28 to 507 of the family's 1533-position model. The record is from RNAcentral.